AGCUUUAUAAUCUAAUUUUAGGAUUUUAAAUUGCAAAUUUAAAUGUGGGGGGAGAAACCCUAAGGCUU
RNAcentral lists this transfer RNA (68 nucleotides) under Adoretus sp. ADO01. RNAcentral's name for it is "tRNA-Cys". Lineage: Eukaryota; Metazoa; Arthropoda; Insecta; Coleoptera; Scarabaeidae. The record is from RNAcentral.